GACGAACGUUGGCGGCGUGCUUAAUACAUGCAAGUCAACUGAAACAGUGGUAGCAAUCUCGCUGUGGAGGUGGCGCACGGGUUAGUAACACUUAGGUAAUCUGCCUUCAGGUCUUGCAUAACGCCGGGAAACCGGGGCCAAUUGCAGGUGAUACAGCGGCUCGCCAUCGAGACAGUUGUUAAAGCUAUGUCUCCUGAACAUGAGCCUGCGGCUGAUUAGCUAGUUGUCGGGGUACCGGCCCAACAAGCCAUCGUUCAGUAGAUGGACUGAGAGGAUGAUCGGCAACACUGGAACUGAGCUACGGUCCAGACUCCGACGGGAGGCAGCAGUAAGGAAGAUUGCCCAAUGGGAGAUACCAUGACGAAGCAACGAGGGGGGAGGGACGAAGGUCUUUUGACUGUACACCUUUGUAGGGAGAGAAAAAAAUACAAAUCUUUGGGACAUGAUGGUAUCUGAAAAGUAAGCCCCGGCUAACUACGUG
This 481-nucleotide ribosomal RNA is filed under the name uncultured bacterium. RNAcentral describes it as "partial 16S ribosomal RNA". It matches the Rfam family "Bacterial small subunit ribosomal RNA", at positions 28 to 507 of the family's 1533-position model. The record is from RNAcentral.